AGACAUUCCUAUAUGAUAAGCAUUUUUUUCUGAGACCAUCAGGCUAAACACACCAUUAAACACCCCAACAAAUGGACACUGAGAUAGCUGAGAUAUCACUGAUUUCACUGAGAGAUGUGAAGCUUCAUAUCCUGAACUGCUAAUGCAGCAACACACAGCAACUAAUGGAAAUCACAUCAUCACCACACACCUGUCAGCUUGCAAAACUUCGUGUUUCAAGGCCUAGAUGCAAAACAAGUCUGUGCUCUCACACUCUCUGGAUCUUACGGAACCGUGACUCAGCCCACCUGUGGAUCCUCCUCUCUGUACAGUUUGAGAGACUUCACUAUAAAGCAGGUGCAGAGCUGAAGUUUCAUAUUGCAUUUUCAAAGCCAUCUGUCUUUGGUUCAGCAAUACCUUCUCACUGAGGAGGACUCCCAGCUGAAGAAUACAACUCCAGCUCUGUCUGCAGAGAAUAACGGCGCCCGCCUCAUGCAGAGCUGUGAAACUGUUCCUCUUUCUGGCAUUAGGGGUUUUCCCUUGGGUAUACUUGGCUGUACAUAUGGGAGGUUUGGUAUUCAACUGGU
Long non-coding RNA from Vidua chalybeata, 566 nucleotides. RefSeq lists it as uncharacterized. The transcript has 3 exons. NCBI's taxonomy places the organism in Eukaryota, Metazoa, Chordata, Aves, Passeriformes, Viduidae. The record is from RefSeq and is a predicted model, not a curated record.